Molecule: long non-coding RNA, 270 nt
Organism: Aethalodelphis obliquidens (Pacific white-sided dolphin)
Lineage: Eukaryota; Metazoa; Chordata; Mammalia; Artiodactyla; Delphinidae
Exons: 3
Source: RefSeq, a predicted model, not a curated record
GGUUAGGGUUAGCGUUAGGGUUAGGGAACAGGGACGGUUUAGGAUACAGGUUAGGAUAUGACAAUGGUUUAGGUUUAGCGUAUGUGUUAGGGUAUGAGUUAGUGUUAGCAUAUGGGUUAGGAUUCGGGGACGGGUUAGAGUAAGGCUUUGGUUACGGGUUAGUGUUAGUGUAUGGGUUAGGAUUCGGGCACGUGUUAGUGUAAGGGUUAGGUUUGGGGAACGUGGAUGGUUUAGAUCACAGUUUAGAGUACAACAACGGGUUAGGGUAUG